UAGGGAAUCUUCGGCAAUGGACGAAAGUCUGACCGAGCAACGCCGCGUGAGUGAAGAAGGUUUUCGGAUCGUAAAACUCUGUUGUUAGAGAAGAACGUUGUGUAGAGUGGAAAAUUACACAAGUGACGGUAUCUAACCAGAAAGGGACGGCUAACUACGUGCCAGCAGCCGCGGUAAUACGUAGGUCCCGAGCGUUGUCCGGAUUUAUUGGGCGUAAAGCGAGCGCAGGUGGUUUAAUAAGUCUGAUGUAAAAGGCAGUGGCUCAACCAUUGUGUGCAUUGGAAACUGUUAGACUUGAGUGCAGUAGAGGAGAGUGGAAUUCCAUGUGUAGCGGUGAAAUGCGUAGAUAUAUGGAGGAACACCGGUGGCGAAAGCGGCUCUCUGGACUGUAACUGACACUGAGGCUCGAAAGCGUGGGUAGCAAACAGGAUUAGAUACCCUGGUAGUCCACGCCGUAAACGAUGAGUGCUAGUUGUUUGGGGCUAUCCAGCCCUAAGUGACGCAGC
This 506-nucleotide ribosomal RNA is filed under the name Pseudolactococcus piscium. RNAcentral's name for it is "bacterial SSU rRNA". It matches the Rfam family "Bacterial small subunit ribosomal RNA", at positions 355 to 852 of the family's 1533-position model. The record is from RNAcentral. Lineage: Bacteria; Bacillati; Bacillota; Bacilli; Lactobacillales; Streptococcaceae.